UAGAGCUCUAUGUAUCUACAUCCUCUUGGCUCUGUCUCUCUAGAAAGCCUUCACUAACACGGGGUUGGAAGCGUCUCGCUCAGCGGGAGGUGAGGGGAGAAGACCACACCCAGCACCCCCACCCUGCCCUCCAAGAGAACUCUUCCAUUGUCCUCUUUCCCAUCCCUUCUGGAGGAAAAAACAGUAUAUACAGUCAUGCAUCAAUUAACAACGCGGACAUCCUCUGAGCAAUGCAUCAUUAGGUGGUUUCCUUGUUGUGCAACCAUCAUAGAGCGCAGUCACGCAAACCUGGCUGGUACAGCCCACUGCACCGUGUGGCCGUGUGGGGCUAAUCUUAUGGGAGCACAGUCAUGUAUGAGGUAUGCUGUUGAAACACCAUCAUGUGGCACUUAACUGGCUAGAAUUCAGUACUGUCUGUGGCUUCAGGCAUCCUCUGGAGGUCUUGGAGUGAGUUUCCUGCGGGUAAGGGGGACUACUGUAUAAUGAGGAUGAUAAUGGUACCUCAGAUCAGAGGGCUGUGGGGACAAUAAAACAAGAUAAUGCACAGGGCCAAGCAGUGUCUGGCACACAUUCAAAAGUACUUUAAUGUUAGCAAAGUGGUGCCUCCAGCUGUGUGCCAGAGCCCUGUGCCACCAGAGGGUGGGGACAGGGAACACUGAGCAGGGCCAAGUCCUUUAAUGCCCCAUUUACACUUUCCACGAAAGAGAGGGGAAUGUUUUCCCAAGUGCUAACAGAUCAGGAAUUCACUCAACAACCACGCAUCCAAGCAAAUGGCUUUGGAUCCAGUAGAUGCUCCAUAAGCACAGAGCCCCUAAGUACAGCUGAUGAGAAAGAAUAGAGCUGGUCCAAGAGUGAGCCUGAUUGGAAAGGGGGUGAAGGAGGCCUUCCCAGAAGAGGUGCUGUUUGAGCCAGGGCUUGGAGAGUGAGGGGGGAGCUGCAGGAAGACAAGGCAAGAUGAAGAGGGAGCGGCGUCCCUAGGGUGGAGGCUCAGAAAGCCCCCAGGGAGCUCCAGGGAGCAGGGCAGCUAGAGGUUCUCCAGCCACAGGUGAGCACAGGGCUCUGCUCCCCUUCUCUGUCUGCCUCCUCCAUUGCACAGUGCACUCCCUGGGUGCAGGACCAGAUCUACCCUGGUGACCAGGGUGGCCCUGGCCUCCAGCCUACUGCUGCCUGCAGUAGGUGCCCAUGGAGUAUGUCUAACUGCUCGUGGGCCCCUGGACACAGAGCCUGCCAGUCCGUGUCCUGGCUCUCCCUGGGGCUCGAAACAAGUUCUUCAUUUGUUCAGCAGGAUUUGUGGAGCACCCACCAUGUGCUGGCACCACCACAGGUGCUGGGGUGCAGUAGUGGGCAGGGCACGAGGCUGAGUCUCCAGUGAGCGCGCUGUGAUGACCCUGGG
This 1393-nucleotide long non-coding RNA is filed under the name Equus caballus (horse). Its description in RNAcentral is "lncRNA (ENSECAG00000060352.1)". Lineage: Eukaryota; Metazoa; Chordata; Mammalia; Perissodactyla; Equidae. The record is from RNAcentral.